Molecule: ribosomal RNA, 490 nt
Filed under: uncultured bacterium
Lineage: Bacteria
Description: partial 16S ribosomal RNA
Rfam family: Bacterial small subunit ribosomal RNA
Source: RNAcentral
ACUCAAAUGAAUUGACGGGGGGCCGCACAAGCGGUGGAGCGUGUGGUUUAAUUCGACGCUAAGCGAAGAACCUUACCAGGGCUUGACAUCCCGAUCGUAUGGCUUGGAAACAAGCUAGUCAGUUCGGCUGGAUCGGUGACAGGUGCUGCAUGGUCGUCGUCAGCUCGUGUCGUGAGAUGUUGGGUUAAGUCCCGCAACGAGCGCAACCCUCGUCGCGUGUUGUAUUUUUCACGCGAGACUGCCUCGGUCAACGAGGAGGAAGGUGGGGAUGACGUCAGAUCAGCAUGGCCCUUAUGCCCUGGGCGACACACGCGCUACAAUGGCCGGCACAAUGGGUUGCGAAGCCGCAAGGUGGAGCUAAUCCCAUCCAAAGCCGGUCUCAGUUCGGAUUGAAGGCUGCAACUCGCCUUCAUGAAGUCGGAAUCGCUAGUAAUCGCGGAUCAGCCAUGCCGCGGUGAAUACGUUCUCGGCCCUUGUACACACCGCCCGU